UACGUAGGGUGCGAGCGUUGUCCGGAAUUAUUGGGCGUAAAGCGCACGUAGGCGGUCCUGUAAGUCGGGUGUGAAAGCCCGGGGCUUAACCCCGGAAGUGCACUCGAAACUGUAGGGCUUGAGUAUGGAAGAGGGUCUCGGAAUUCCCGGUGUAGAGGUGAAAUUCGUAGAUAUCGGGAGGAACACCAGUGGCGAAGGCGGAGACCUGGGCCAAUACUGACGCUGAGGUGCGAAAGCGUGGGGAGCAAACAGG
RNAcentral lists this ribosomal RNA (253 nucleotides) under uncultured bacterium. Its description in RNAcentral is "partial 16S ribosomal RNA". It matches the Rfam family "Bacterial small subunit ribosomal RNA", at positions 524 to 776 of the family's 1533-position model. The record is from RNAcentral.